This 214-nucleotide unclassified non-coding RNA is filed under the name plant metagenome. RNAcentral describes it as "partial contains small subunit ribosomal RNA, internal transcribed spacer 1, and 5.8S ribosomal RNA". The record is from RNAcentral.
UUUCCGUAGGUGAACCUGCGGAAGGAUCACUAGUGAUUAAAUCGAGCGUGUCUUCAUGACCGCUCACCCUUCUCACCAUCCACAUACACCUGUGCACUGUUUAGCCUGAGCCGGUUUUCCGGUCCAGGUUAUCAUUUCAUACAAACUCUAGUCUUAUGAAUGUAAACGUUUUAAUAACAUAAUAAAACUUUCAACAACGGAUCUCUUGGUUCUC